Molecule: ribosomal RNA, 253 nt
Filed under: uncultured bacterium
Lineage: Bacteria
Description: partial 16S ribosomal RNA
Rfam family: Bacterial small subunit ribosomal RNA
Source: RNAcentral
UACGUAGGGUGCAAGCGUUAAUCGGAAUUACUGGGCGUAAAGCGUGCGCAGGCGGUUAUGUAAGACAGGUGUGAAAUCCCCGGGCUUAACCUGGGAACUGCAUUUGUGACUGCAUAGCUAGAGUACGGUAGAGGGGGAUGGAAUUCCGCGUGUAGCAGUGAAAUGCGUAGAUAUGCGGAGGAACACCGAUGGCGAAGGCAAUCCCCUGGACCUGUACUGACGCUCAUGCGCGAAAGCGUGGGGAGCAAACAGG